AUUGAACGCUGGCGGCAGGCCUAACACAUGCAAGUCGAGCGGAUGAAGGGAGCUUGCUCCUGUAUUCAGCGGCGGACGGGUGAGUAAUGCCUAGGAAUCUGCCUGGUCGUGGGGGAUAACGUCCGGAAACGGGCGCUAAUACCGCAUACGUCCUGAGGGAGAAAGUGGGGGAUCUUCGGACCUCACGCUAUCAGAUGAGCCUAGGUCGGAUUAGCUAGUUGGUGGGGUAAAGGCCUACCAAGGCGACGAUCCGUAACUGGUCUGAGAGGAUGAUCAGUCACACUGGAACUGAGACACGGUCCAGACUCCUACGGGAGGCAGCAGUGGGGAAUAUUGGACAAUGGGCGAAAGCCUGAUCCAGCCAUGCCGCGUGUGUGAAGAAGGUCUUCGGAUUGUAAAGCACUUUAAGUUGGGAGGAAGGGCAGUAAGUUAAUACCUUGCUGUUUUGACGUUACCAACAGAAUAAGCACCGGCUAACUUCGUG
Molecule: ribosomal RNA, 484 nt
Filed under: uncultured bacterium
Lineage: Bacteria
Description: partial 16S ribosomal RNA
Rfam family: Bacterial small subunit ribosomal RNA
Source: RNAcentral